Molecule: ribosomal RNA, 486 nt
Filed under: uncultured bacterium
Lineage: Bacteria
Description: partial 16S ribosomal RNA
Rfam family: Bacterial small subunit ribosomal RNA
Source: RNAcentral
AUUGAACGCUGGCGGCAUGCCUUACACAUGCAAGUCGAACGGCAGCACGGGUGCUUGCACCUGGUGGCGAGUGGCGAAAGGGUGAGUAAUACAUCGGAACAUGUCCUGUAGUGGGGGAUAGCCCGGCGAAAGCCGGAUUAAUACCGCAUACGAUCCACGGAUGAAAGCGGGGGACCUUCGGGCCUCGCGCUAUCGGGUUGGCCGAUGGCUGAUUAGCUAGUUGGUGGGGUAAAGGCCUACCAAGGCGACGAUCAGUAGCUGGUCUGAGAGGACGACCAGCCACACUGGGACUGAGACACGGCCCAGACUCCUACGGGAGGCAGCAGUGGGGAAUUUUGGACAAUGGGCGAAAGCCUGAUCCAGCAAUGCCGCGUGUGUGAAGAAGGCCUUCGGGUUGUAAAGCACUUUUGUCCGGAAAGAAAUCCUUGGCUCUAAUACAGUCGGGGGAUGACGGUACCGGAAGAAUAAGCACCGGCUAACUACGUG